This 513-nucleotide ribosomal RNA is filed under the name uncultured bacterium. Its description in RNAcentral is "partial 16S ribosomal RNA". It matches the Rfam family "Bacterial small subunit ribosomal RNA", at positions 28 to 523 of the family's 1533-position model. The record is from RNAcentral.
GAUGAACGCUGGCGGCGUGCCUAAUACAUGCAAGUCGAGCGAACAGACGAGGAGCUUGCUUCUCUGACGUUAGCGGUGGACGGGUGAGUAACACGUGGAUAACCUACCUAUAAGACUGGGAUAACUUCGGGAAACCGGAGCUAAUACCGGAUAACAUGUUGAACCGCAUGGUUCAACAGUGGAAGACGGUCUUGCUGUCACUUAUAGAUGGAUCCGCGCCGCAUUAGCUAGUUGGUAAGGUAACGGCUUACCAAGGCAACGAUGCGUAGCCGACCUGGGAGGGUGGUCGGCGACACUGGGACUGAGACACGGUCCAGACUCCUACGGGAGGCAGCAGUAGGGAAUCUUCCGCAAUGGGCGAAAGCCUGACGGAGCAACGCCGCGUGAGUGAAGAAGGUCUUCGGAUCGUAAAACUCUGUUAUUAGGGAAGAACAAAUGUGUAAGUAACUAUGCACGUCUUGACGGUACCUAAUCAGAAAGCCACGGCUAACUACGUGCCAGCAGCCGCCGCCG